This 118-nucleotide ribosomal RNA is filed under the name Jaculus jaculus (lesser Egyptian jerboa). Lineage: Eukaryota; Metazoa; Chordata; Mammalia; Rodentia; Dipodidae. The record is from RNAcentral.
GUCUGUGGCCACACCACCCUGAAUGUGCCUGCUCUCAUCUGAUCUCGGAAGCUAAGCAGCAUCAGGCCUGACUAGUACUAGGAGAGGAUAACAUGAAUACUGUUUAAAACUAUAGACA